CCAAGAAAUAAAGCAGAGAGAUCCUGCUCAUAAAACAUUUCGCUAAAGAGAAACAUUCGAGUUAAAACAUCCUGUUAACAAACGCCAUUCUCCUAACAAAAUACAGGGGAGAAGAAAGGAGAACCUUUAGAUCUGCAGGUAAAAUAGGUGGAGAGGGGUACAGGGAAAAGACUAAAUGAAAAGACGGUAGGAAUGCAAGACAGAAGAAGAAAAAGAUCAAUAACAAAUUGAAUGACAGGCUGUCUAUAUUGGUGCCAUGAGCAGGAAUGUGCAGGUAGGAGAAGCUGUAGUUUUGCUGUAUUGCCAGCCUACUCUUUGAAGCACCAGCCAUGGCCAGGGCCAGUACAGACAAUGUACAGUACUUGAUCUUUUUAAUAAAUAAGGUAAAAUAAG
Molecule: long non-coding RNA, 393 nt
Organism: Xenopus laevis (African clawed frog)
Lineage: Eukaryota; Metazoa; Chordata; Amphibia; Anura; Pipidae
Exons: 3
Source: RefSeq, a predicted model, not a curated record